This 486-nucleotide ribosomal RNA is filed under the name uncultured bacterium. Its description in RNAcentral is "partial 16S ribosomal RNA". It matches the Rfam family "Bacterial small subunit ribosomal RNA", at positions 30 to 507 of the family's 1533-position model. The record is from RNAcentral.
AUUGAACGCUGGCGGCAUGCCUUACACAUGCCAGUCGAACGGCAGCACGGGUGCUUGCACCUGGUGGCGAGUGGCGAACGGGUGAGUAAUACAUCGGAACAUGUCCUGUAGUGGGGGAUAGCCCGGCGAAAGCCGGAUUAAUACCGCAUACGAUCUACGGAUGAAAGCGGGGGACCUUCGGGCCUCGCGCUAUAGGGUUGGCCGAUGGCUGAUUAGCUAGUUGGUGGGGUAAAGGCCUACCAAGGCGACGAUCAGUAGCUGGUCUGAGAGGACGACCAGCCACACUGGGACUGAGACCCGGCCCAGACUCCUACGGGAGGCAGCAGUGGGGAAUUUUGGACAAUGGGCGAAAGCCUGAUCCAGCAAUGCCGCGUGUGUGAAGAAGGCCUUCUGGUUGUAAAGCACUUUUGUCCGGAAAGAAAUCCUUGGCCCUAAUACGGUCGGGGGAUGACGGUACCGGAAGAAUAAGCACCGGCUAACUACGUG